Molecule: non-coding RNA, 99 nt
Organism: Acanthosepion pharaonis
Lineage: Eukaryota; Metazoa; Mollusca; Cephalopoda; Sepiida; Sepiidae
Source: the annotation of a GenBank genome assembly
GUUGAUACACCUGUUCCCAUAGAUUCACUGAAGUUAAGCUAUAUCGAGCCUAGUCAGUACGCAGAUAGGUGACCGCUUGGGAACACCAGGUGUUGUCAG